RNAcentral lists this ribosomal RNA (478 nucleotides) under uncultured bacterium. Its description in RNAcentral is "partial 16S ribosomal RNA". It matches the Rfam family "Bacterial small subunit ribosomal RNA", at positions 28 to 507 of the family's 1533-position model. The record is from RNAcentral.
GAUGAACGCUGGCGGCGUGCUUAACACAUGCAAGUCGAACGGGAAACCUUUUAUUGCUGCUUCGGCCGAUUUAGCUGGUUUCUAGUGGCGGGCGGGUGAGUAACGCGUGGGUAAUCUUCCUUAUACAGGGGGGUAACAACCAGAAAUUGUUGCUAAUACCGCAUGAGCGCACAGGACCGCAUGGUUCGGUGUGCACAAGUCCGGUGGUAGAAGAUGGACCCGCGUUGGGUUAGCUAGUUGGCAGGGUAACGGCCUAACAAGGCGACGAUCCAUAGCCGGCCGGAGAAGGAGAACGGCCACAUUGGGACGGAGACACGGGCCAGACUCCUACGGGAUGCAGCAGUGGGGAAUAUUGCACAAUGGGGGAAACCCUGAUGGACCGACGCCGCGUGAAGGAAGAAGUAUCUCGAUAUGAAAACUUCGAUCAGCAGGGAAGAUAGUGACGGUACCUGACUAAGAAGCCCCGGCUAACUACGUG